UUGAACACACCCAGAACCGCUAUCAGAUAAUAGAAGUAAUCCAAUUUUCCCGCGUUGAGAUUCUUGUUAAGCCAAUCAGGACGGUCAUGGCCACCGGAGAAUUUAUGAACCGUCGUCACAAUCAAACUACUAAGGUAGUUCGAACCGGCGAAGGAUAACGAGAAGAGAGAGUUAGCGAUGCUUCUCAUGUGUUCAGGAAACUGACUGUUGAAGAAGUCAAUCUGUCCAAUGAUAUUGAAUGCUUCGCAUAGUCCCAUCAGAAUAAGCUGCGGCGAGAGCCAAAACACCGACAUGGGGGUCAUCCCGGUCGGAUCUCCUGCGUUAAUGGAGCGCAUUCGUCUCAUGCGCUCCACUAACCCGGCAACGAUCAUGGAGAGGAUAGCGAAAACGAUCCCUGUCCCGAUACGUUGGAGGAGUGUGAUACCGGAUUUAUGGCUGGUGAUCCGACGGAAGAAUGGGACUAAAACGCGGUCGUAUAAGGGAAGAAAAACGCCGAUGGUGAGGAGAGAGAUGACUGAGAGAGAACCGGCCGGAAUCUCGAAGUUGGGGCCUAUAUGUCGGUCCAUUUUUAAAGCUUGAGAGACAGUGAAAGUUCCUUGUUGUGUCAUCGCCGCGAGUGAUAUUAUUCCGGCCGACCAAACAGGAACGAUUCGAAUCAAACACUUCACUUCUUCCACUUCUUGAAUGCUGCAUAAUCGCCACUUGUUCGCCGGAACUCCCUCGGAUGAUAGAUCGCCUUCUAUUAUCACCGCCGCUUUGUCUAGAAACCUAUUUUACGCCAUUCCAGUUAAAAUAUGUACUACCUCAGCUUCACAAUUAUCAAAGUUUUUAUAAAAAAAUUAUGGAGUAUAAUAAAAUUAGCUUUAAAUUUUUUUUAAUUUUUUUUUUAUUAUUGAAUAAUAGCAAAUUUUAAAAUUUAAGAAACUUAAUUGAUUUUUUUUAACUAAUAUUGAUGUAAUUUUAUUGAAAAUUACUAGGAAAAUACAUUUAUAGUAAAAAAUUAAUGUGUUUUUAAUAUUUAUGAAAUACUCAAAUUUUUAUAUUUUUGGAACGGAAAUAGUAUAAGUUAAAAUAUGCUUAUAAUUUGCUAGACAAGAAAAUAUUUGACCAAAAUUGUAAAAUAUGAUACUAUAUAUUUAUUAAAAUUUGACAUGCAAUAGUUGAACAUCUUUAUAAACGAUUUUACCAUCCAUUUGUCUGUAUUUCUUUUUGUAAAUUUAGUUAUCUAGUGCAUAUAUUCAACUAAACACCAUGCAGUUAUACGUAAAAAAAUGAAUAUAUAAAGUACCUGUAUUGGUUACUAUGGUGUAAUUUGGAUAAUACGCUAUCUUUAACAGGCGGGUCAUAGUAGGUCACAGUGCCGUCAUCUUCCGCCGGGAGCUUCAUCUUUCGCUUCUUGCGAGCUGCCACGACAACUUGAGCGAUACCAGAGAAUAUACUUCCUUCAGGUUUAACAUAGACGUAAAGCUUCAUUCCGGCGAAAAACAUAACCACGGCACAAGCCAUGAGUCCAGUGGGUACGCUAAAGCCGAUGAUCCAGCUGACUUGGUCUUGGAUAUACACAACAACGGUCUGUGUAAUAAGCAGAACCACAGUGAAAGUCAUGUAAUACCAGUUGAAGAAACUUGCCACUCCUUUAAUCCCUUCCUCGGUUCGUUGGUCGAAUUGGUCAACACCAAAAGGGAUGCUACAUGGUCGUAUUCCUCCACUCCCUAUGGAGAGGAAACCUAGACCUAAUAGCAAAAUCCCGAACUGGAGUUUGUUCGGACCGCCGCAACUAACGGGAUCUUUGCUGUUGCAUGUUUCUGGGUGGAGUUGAGGAAGCGAUGCCGUGAGUGUCAAUGUCACUAGUCCCUGCAGAUUUUAGCUGAUUUAGUAAAAUAUUACCCCAUCAUUCGUUUUCAAACCGAUUCUACAAUAGUUAUGAUGAUCUUACCUUGAAAUUCAGUUGGAUAUAGUUGUUAGUUACUACUGGAAAGGCAAACAAUAAAGUGGACUAGUGGACUAAUUUAGUUAUCUUGGACUGCAUGUGAUUAAAAGGUGAUAUUACUUAGUUAGGUACUUGGAAAGGCAUAUAUUACUGUGGGAUAGAAUGGAGUUAUGAUUCAGUGACAAAAAAAGAGAGGUUAAAGUUAUGACCUCAACUACAGACAACAAUUAAUUAAGUUAACAUUGGUCUUAUAAUUAGGUUUGACGACUUCAUAUGAUUAAAAUGUGUUAUCACCUUCAUUAGAUACCAGUUAGUAUAAACUGAUCAUGACGUAGUACCGAAUAUUAAUUUUGUUGUUGUAACCCUAAUAUAGUAAAAUGAGUAGUUUAUGGUAACAAUUUAGGUCGAUCCCCUUAUUUGAAAAUUAAUUUUUUUUUAAGUUUUAUAUGUCAUUACCAUAUUUAUUUUCACAACAAUAUGAUAUGGUUUAGUAAAAAAGUCUCUUAUUAUGACAUGUAUAUUCUUAAUGAUAACACUUUUGUCUUCUGAGAAAAUUCCUAAAUAACAUAAUAAUCAUUCGGUACAUACAGGCCCAGCUCUGAUAGGAAGCUAUGGAAGCAUGGACUUCCGGCCUUUAAACAAUAUAGCUUAUUUUCGGCCUCAAUUUCUUGAAUAUCUCUUUAGUCUACUAGUAAAAAACUAAAGCUAUAUUUCCUAAGGUCAUAAGUUCGACCCAUGCCUACGGUAAUUGCAGCCUUUUUUGCCAAAUAGCUUCUGGUCCUGUAAAAGUCAGGGCCGCUACUGGGUACAUACCAUAUAUAUAUGUAAGUGAUCAAUAUUGUUAUUGUUAAAAUUUAAAAUAAUAUAAAUACAAGUAUAAGAAAUUUUAUAAACUAACCUAAUAUAAAAAGUUGGUAAAUUUGAAAAAGUUAGCUAAUUUCUUAUAAAUAUUUAUAUUUUACCACAUUAAAUGUAAAUCAUGUACCUUAAUAAAUAAAAAACUAAGAUAAAUUUAAUUAGAAUUCAAAAUUGUGGUAAAUAUUCAAAAAUAUUACUAUAUCCAUAUCAGCAUAAAUAGAAUUUAAUCAAGUUAUUUGAAUUUAAUUGUGAUACAAUAAAUUGAAAAUCUGUUUGUUAGAAAUAUCAUAAGUCAAACGGAAACAAAUAUUUUAUUUUAUAAUUUAUGAAUCACAAAUUUAAAUAUUAAUAAAUUUAAAAAAUAUUUUAAAUAAAAAUAUUUUUAAAAAGUUGCAUUUCUGUUCAGUAAACCCCUAGUUAAUAACUAUGAAAAAUGCAAAAAUGUAAGAGAUGUAAACACGUGAAUUUAGAGGGAUGCGACAAAUAUAAAUACCCCACUUUGAUUAUAAUAAUGCUAUAAUAAUGAAUGAAAGAGACAUUUAGAAACGAAACUGUAUCCACAUACGUUAAGUUACGUUACGUUACGUCACUGUGAUUGACCAAAUCUACAACUCUUUCAGUUGGCAAUAUAAUCUGGAAUUUCAAUUAUUGGACGCACUUGUUACCGAUAAUCUUUAUAGACCACUUGUGUAUUUUCUUUAUUUUCUACGCACUUCUCUUAUCUUGAAAGUUAUAAUCCGUUUGAUUACGGACCCUCUGUGUUGUUUGAUUACUGAAAUUCUUUAAUGGAAAAUGUACUAGCAAUUUAUCAAAGUUGUUUUUUUUCUGUGAGAUGAAAAUAGUUCUCUGAUAAAGAAUUUCGGGGAUGUAUAAUUAAAGUGAGCCCAAGUUAAGCACCGGCAACAAUUUGAGUCUACCGAAUGCUUUUCGUUCGAAUGAUUCACAUGAUAGAUCGACCUUAUCGUCCUAUAGAAAGCGUGGUCCCUCUAUAAUUUCAUGCGUUUUCAUACGAUACAAACGCAAUAAAUAGGUAAGAAAAUAUAACUUAAAGUUUUAGUAUUAUAGUUUUUGUUGAAUAUGAAUAAAGUUUGUCUAUAACGUAUUUACCUCGUCAUGUCCACUUGCAUGAUGAAAUUAUGUGGCACGUACCAUGUAUCAUCUCCACACAAUAUAUAGAGCAACAAUAUAACUUUCUACCGGACGUUAGUAUGUUAUGAAUUAGUAUUACUAUAUAUUAAGUGUGCAUAUGUGACACAUUAAGAUUAGCAUUUCAAUAAAAGGAAGAGAAGAGUACUAAUACGUACGAGGAGGGUGGCGAAUGAGGCGAAAGCGAUGGUCUUGAAACGGCCGACGUAAGCGUCCGAGAUAAACGCACCCACUAGAGGAGUGAGAUUGCUGAAGCCAGACCAAAUGUUGAUGACAUUUGAAGCGUCGACUUGUUCUAAGUGGAACACUCUGGUUAGAUACACCAUGAAGUUUGACAACAACCCAAUUGUUCCCAGUCUCUCCAACGUCUCAUUUCCUGUUUUUCAAAUUUCAAAGCUUCCGAUAGUUUUAUCUCGGGUUUAAACAAAAGCAGUCAUUGUAAUUUUUUUUUGAGUGAAUACAUUUUUACAUCCAUUCAAAAAAUGUCAACACAUAAACGAACGAAUAUGUUAACAGUUUUCUUUCUGUUUUAGUUAUACUUAUAAAUAAGUAGUCAGAUGGACGAGUGUCAAACAUGAUGAACCGACGGUUACAAGAAUAUAUUAUAAAUAUGAUCCUUCGGAAAAAAACCUGAAACUAAAAUUUAAAUUAUUCUUGACCGGUUGAAAAGAUCAUACGCCACUUUCUUUUCUGUCUAGUGUCUAUUACGUUCAAAGAUCUAGGCAAAAAGUGGGUUUGAAACAUCUGUCAAGGAUAAUAAGUGUAAUAAUGUAUUCAGUGGUUUCUAGAAGUUUUAUGUCCAAAUAUGGAAACUAAUUUCAUGUAAAUUGAGGAAGGAUCAAGGAAUAGGUUAUCUACAAAUAAAUUACGUUCACGAACCAAAGAAAAACACAUACCUAAAAUGAACGUGACGGCUCUCCAUCCUCCAGGCUUUUUCUCAACCUUCUCAGCAUCCAAGAUAGAAUGCGGCGAACUUUUCUGACUGUGAGAAUCAGAAACAUCCAUCUCCGCCGGCAGUAGCGAUUUGGAGAAAUUACUAGAUGGUGGGAAGAAGAAGUGUCCUUCUCUUCGCACUUUGAACUUAGGGCAAUUGAUGUUGUGAGAUUGGAUCCUUACUUUUAUGCAAUUUACAUAGAUAAAUCAAGGUAAACACAUGGAAUGAUUGAUAAAUGUAGCGAGUGGGCACGUCACGCGUACACUUUCUCUCUGUUAGAAUCUUUUUAGGGUGUAAUGGGGAAGUGUCUGUGCCUAUGUAUAUAUAAGAGCAUGUUUAUGGAGGGUUAUCUUAGGUUGGAGUUCUUAGGUUAUGUUUCUUAGCGGAAUAUAAGAAACCGUCUCUUAACUUUUAACUAAAAAAGUUAUUUAAGAACCGGUUCUUAAUUUUUUUAGUUAAAAGUUAAGAGACGGUUUCUUAUAUUCAGAUAACAACUUCAACCUAAGAACCCUCCAAUAAACAUGCUCUAAGGGAAUCCCUUAUAUAUUAAAGGAGAAGCAUUGUAAUAAAUGCGUUCACACUAAACUGGACACAUGUCACGUGUAAAAGCAUUGUAAUAAAUGCGAUCACACUAAAAUAGACACAAGUCACAUAUAGAGAGUUUCUCAGCCAAAUUCUACAUAAAUAUGUUCACACUAUGUUCUUUACAUUUUUUUAAUAUAAAACUCACAUGCAUGGUUCUUCUUUACGUUAUUUUUACUGUUUACGAAUAGAGCUGGACAAAUUAUUCAUAAAUUUUGAUUCGAUUCGUUAUCCGUUUUUAUUCGAACCAAAAAAUCCGGAUAUCCGUUACUCUACGAAGCAAAUCAAAUACUAAAAUGCAAUAUCCGUAAAAAAAAAAAAAUCACAAAUAUCAAUAUUUAUAGGAAAGAAUAUCCUUGAACAAAAAAAAAAGAAAGAAUAUCCAAUUUGAUCCGUUAUAUGCAUAUAUAUAUAUAUAAGUUCUGAAUUAUAUAUUAUACUUAGAUACAUUGUCAUCGUAAUCAUUAAAACAACAUCGAUCAUCUUCUUGUUGCUUUAAAUCAUUUCAGCUGUUUUUUGGAACUCAUCUCAACAUCAGAGAAACUCUUGUCCUCCUCGAAACCUCCCAUCUGUAAACCAACCUUGUACCGGUAUCCCUGAGCACAGUACCAAAAGUAAACCAGAUUGAACACACCCAGAACCGCUAUCAGAUAAUAGAAGUAAUCCAAUUUUCCCGCGUUGAGAUUCUUGUUAAGCCAAUCAGGACGGUCAUGGCCACCGGAGAAUUUAUGAACCGUCGUCACAAUCAAACUACUAAGGUAGUUCGAACCGGCGAAGGAUAAAGAGAAGAGAGAGUUAGCGAUGCUUCUCAUGUGUUCAGGGAACUGACUGUUGAAGAACUCAAUCUGUCCAAUGAUAUUGAAUGCUUCGCAUAGUCCCAUCAGAAUAAGCUGCGGCGAGAGCCAAAACACCGACAUGGGGGUCAUCCCGGUCGGAUCUCCUGCGUUAAUGGAGCGCAUUCGUCUCAUGCGCUCCACUAACCCGGCAACGAUCAUGGAGAGGAUAGCGAAAACGAUCCCUGUCCCGAUACGUUGGAGGAGUGUGAUACCGGAUUUAUGGCCGGUGAUCCGACGGAAGAAUGGGACUAAAACGCGGUCGUAUAAGGGAAGAAAGACGCCGAUGGUGAGGAGAGAGAUGACUGAGAGAGAACCGGCCGGAAUCUCGAAGUUGGGGCCUAUAUGUCGGUCCAUUUUUAAAGCUUGAGAGACAGUGAAAGUUCCUUGUUGUGUCAUCGCCGCGAGUGAUAUUAUUCCGGCCGACCAAACAGAGGGGAAACUAAACCAUUGAAAGAGAGAUUGUUUAUAAUGAUUGAGGGAGAGGAACUGAUGAAAUUCACAUCAAGAAUCUCACAUAUUUAUAGAUUGUAGAUUCAUACCAUGGAAGAAAGAAAGAGGGUAUUGAAUGAGACAUCAUGUAAGGAGUGGGAAGGUGGCUUUAAUGAUGAUCAUUGAACGAAGACAUGUCGUAACGGCUUCGAGGAUAAGAACUAAAGAUGAAACGACGCAGUCGAAGCAUGACACAAAGUUUCUUCACGACGAUUUGCCCCACUCGAUAUUCUGAAACUCUAUUAUUGGCGGAACUAAUCAGACAGAGCUUCAAGGGUACGAUAAAUCGUAGAGAAGGACGGCUGCUACUCGUGAAGAAGAUAAGACGACUAAAAGGCCACUUUUUACUGGGCCAAAGCAAAUUUAUCAGCCCAAAAACAUUGAAUAUACAAGCUUAACGUUAGAAGCCCAACAGAUAUGAGAUUAAAUGAAAUGCUGCGUUUUGUGCGGACGGGACACGUGUCGACACCCGAAGUUUCGACUUUCUGACUUGGAAUCUGACGUGUAGCCUUCAGGAGUGAGCAAACUCUUUUUUAUAAUAAUAGAUAGAUAGAUUCUGAACUGUCCAAGCAUUUUGCAAGUCCUCACCAACUUAUCCUACUAAAGUAUUCUUGUUGAAAAACUUGUUUACCUAAUCAUUACCAAUGCAAAAAACUAACAAUCUCCCCUUCCCAUGAAAAGGUAGAUUUUACAAGAUCCAUACUCAUUAAUGGGGUUGUAGGCAAAUGGUUUGGUCGAUUCCAAUAAUACAAAACUAAACGUUAUAGAAUCUGCAUCGUGUCACAGGACUUGUAGAUACCGAAACAAAUAUAGGAGUGACGGAGUUCUCAUCACAAUCUUUUUUCAUCAUGUAUUCAUGUGAGGAUGUAUUUCCAUCAUGUUCAUACUUCAUAGAAUAAGCAAGCCGAAUCCAUACACUUGUUCAAUUUUGUCAGGAACCAUACAACUAAUCCAGAAAUGGUCACCGAAUCCAUAUACAUGUUCAUUGCUUUUUUCGGCAGAAUUCGUCAACCAUGUCUAAUUUAAAAGGUGUAAAAGCUUUCUUUGGUCGAUUGCUCGAGUUCCAUGAUAAAGUCCAAUUAAAACAAAAAAAUCAAAAAUUCUAUAGGACUUAUAAUUAAGUUAGAGGAAAGCAUUACUGUGAGUAGUCCAUUCCCCAAACAUAGGAACACCAAAGUAUUCAUAUAUAUAUACAUAUAUUCAUAUCAUAGCACAGUGUAUAUGACUAUGCUAUAGUGCAAUCCACCGAUUAAAUUACAUUCAUGACUUAAACUGCGAUUUACUUGUAAGAAUUCUAUUGUAGAAUACCAGCUAUAGCGUAUACAAAGCCAUAAAAUUAAAGUAGACUGUAAAAUAUCUAAUACGAUCUAGUUCCUAUAUUUAUUACACGAUAUAGUUCUGAAUUAUAUAUUAUACUUAGAUACAUUGUCAUCGUAAUCAUUAAAACAACAUCGAUCAUCUUCUUGUUGCUUUAAAUCAUUUCAGCUGUUUUUUGGAACUCAUCUCAACAUCAGAGAAACUCUUGUCCUCCUCGAAACCUCCCAUCUGUAAACCAACCUUGUACCGGUAUCCCUGAGCACAGUACCAAAAGUAAACCAGAUUGAACACACCCAGAACCGCUAUCAGAUAAUAGAAGUAAUCCAAUUUUCCCGCGUUGAGAUUCUUGUUAAGCCAAUCAGGACGGUCAUGGCCACCGGAGAAUUUAUGAACCGUCGUCACAAUCAAACUACUAAGGUAGUUCGAACCGGCGAAGGAUAAAGAGAAGAGAGAGUUAGCGAUGCUUCUCAUGUGUUCAGGGAACUGACUGUUGAAGAACUCAAUCUGUCCAAUGAUAUUGAAUGCUUCGCAUAGUCCCAUCAGAAUAAGCUGCGGCGAGAGCCAAAACACCGACAUGGGGGUCAUCCCGGUCGGAUCUCCUGCGUUAAUGGAGCGCAUUCGUCUCAUGCGCUCCACUAACCCGGCAACGAUCAUGGAGAGGAUGGCGAAAACGAUCCCUGUCCCGAUACGUUGGAGGAGUGUGAUACCGGAUUUAUGGCUGGUGAUCCGACGGAAGAAUGGGACUAAAACGCGGUCGUAUAAGGGAAGAAAAACGCCGAUGGUGAGGAGAGAGAUGACUGAGAGAGAACCGGCCGGAAUCUCGAAGUUGGGGCCUAUAUGUCGGUCCAUUUUUAAAGCUUGAGAGACAGUGAAAGUUCCUUGUUGUGUCAUCGCCGCGAGUGAUAUUAUUCCGGCCGACCAAACAGGAACGAUUCGAAUCAAAC
RNAcentral lists this long non-coding RNA (9036 nucleotides) under Brassica napus (rape). Its description in RNAcentral is "long non-coding RNA (BNAP_LNC026454)". The stretch from base 5253 to 5354 matches the Rfam family "MIR9563 microRNA precursor family". Lineage: Eukaryota; Viridiplantae; Streptophyta; Magnoliopsida; Brassicales; Brassicaceae. The record is from RNAcentral.